RNAcentral lists this ribosomal RNA (450 nucleotides) under uncultured bacterium. Its description in RNAcentral is "partial 16S ribosomal RNA". It matches the Rfam family "Bacterial small subunit ribosomal RNA", at positions 354 to 796 of the family's 1533-position model. The record is from RNAcentral.
GUCGAGAAUAAUUCACAAUGGACGAAAGUCUGAUGGUGCAACGCCGCGUGGAGGAUGAAGGUCUUCGGAUUGUAAACUCCUGUCAUCGGGGAGUAAGACCUGGCGGUAAAUAGCCGACAGGGUUGAUAGUACCCGAAGAGGAAGGGACGGCUAACUUCGUGCCAGCAGCCGCGGUAAUACGAAGGUCCCAAGCGUUGUUCGGAAUCACUGAGCGUAAAGGGAGCGUAGGCGGCGUGGUAAGUCAGAUGUGAAAUCCCGGGGCUCAACCCCGGAACUGCAUCCGAUACUGCCAUGCUUGAGGGUUGGAGAGGUAGCUGGAAUUCUCGGUGUAGCAGUGAAAUGCGUGGAUAUCGAGAGGAACACUCGUGGCGAAGGCGAGCUACUGGACAACAUCUGACGCUGAGGCUCGAAGGCCAGGGGAGCAAAAGGGAUUAGAUACCCCGGUAGUCC